Molecule: long non-coding RNA, 1034 nt
Organism: Gasterosteus aculeatus aculeatus (three-spined stickleback)
Lineage: Eukaryota; Metazoa; Chordata; Actinopteri; Perciformes; Gasterosteidae
Source: Ensembl
AUACGUAUAUAUUCCCUUAUACCGCAGAAUGAAAGCAUAUUCUUUAAAUCUGACCCUUGCUCCGGUUCGUAGCGCCUGUAGUUUGUAAUGGGAAAAUGAUAUGUGACCCUUUUAAAUGCUUCAUUUGUAUAACCAGUUUAUUAGUUGCAAGUGCUUAGGUCACAAAGGCCCUGACAUAAGAACUGAUGUCUCCCACUUGGAUUAGAUGUUUCCAGCGUCAUAGCUGUAGAGAUUGAACAAAGUGUUUGUUAUGUCUAUGACCACCUUUGUUUUUGAAUGUUGGGAGAGCAAGGACACGGUCAAAGAGCUGACGUGUCUUACAUGGAUAAGAUGUUCCCAGUAUCCUGACUGUAGAUACUCAACAAGAUGGUUAACGGUUUCUGUUGACGCCACCGAUAUCUAAGUUUAGUCUCACAGGGGCUGGCGGCCCUCUCCUCAACACAUGCCCACCACCGUACCCUGCUUCAUCUGCGAACCAGCAACCUCCGUCUGCAGGAGCACAUAUCAAAGUUCACUACACCCGGCAGAGGGAGGAAAAGGAAGCGGCAGUGAAAGCAGCACAGGAACGACUCCUCGGCGAAGAGGAGGAAAAGAGACAGGCUGCUCUCCCCACUCGCUCUCGCUCUCCAGGAGCAACCGGAGGGGACACUUCUGCCAUCAACAAACUGAUUGCAGAGCAACCAUCUACAUCAGAUGUUUUUUCCCUCUCUUUCGACCCAGAGGGAGUUCCCCCGGAUGCAAAAUCUGUGCUCCAAACCCCAAUGAUUCAAGUACCAGGACACUCAGGUCCCAUACUUGUUUUCCGGCCUUGGACUGAUACGGACAUUAGAGCUGCAAUGGCUCAUCUCCCGCCGAUACAGCACUCGGGAAGACUGUUUGCUGAAGCAUUCAUGGACUUCUGUAAGCAAUUCCUGCCCAACUUUGCUGAAAUUCGACGUGUUCUAAUGAGUCACGUGGGUCCGACUCACUACCAAAAGCUCAACCAGCUGGUUGCAGGAGACACCAGUGCGGCCGAUGUUGAAUGGAGUUCAAAU